RNAcentral lists this small nucleolar RNA (145 nucleotides) under Balaenoptera musculus (blue whale). RNAcentral's name for it is "U8 small nucleolar RNA (ENSBMSG00010011752.1)". It matches the Rfam family "U8 small nucleolar RNA". From Rfam's summary of the family: U8 is a member of the C/D class of snoRNA which contain the C (UGAUGA) and D (CUGA) box motifs. U8 is the RNA component of a small complex (the U8 snoRNP) which is required for accumulation of mature large subunit ribosomal RNAs, 5.8S and 28S rRNAs. Lineage: Eukaryota; Metazoa; Chordata; Mammalia; Artiodactyla; Balaenopteridae. The record is from Rfam by way of RNAcentral.
UCGUCAGGUAAGAUAAUCCUUACCUGUUCCUCCUUUCAGAGGACAGAACAGAACAUGAUGAUUGGAGCUCACAUGAUUCGUGAUUAACGGCUGUGCGUAAUCAGGCCUUACAAAAUGUACAUCUUCCUGGGGGUUGCACUCAGUA